UAGCUCAUCAUGCUGACCAUUUAUCUCCCAGGUUUUGGAAAAAGCAUUGAUGUUGACUGCUAGUUGACAAAGGGGAAGAAAUAGGUUCUUCAGGUGGCAGCAAUCAAGAAAACAAAGGCUUCCCAAAGUCACACAUGCAACCGGGCACUAUCAGGGCUGUCAGAGUUUCCAAGGACAGGGAGAGGGAGGCAGAUCCCAUGAAAUGAGGCUGGACAGGAAGUCCUCCCAACGAGGUUAUCAGGCAAAUCAAGAAGAGUGGGAAGUGCCCGAAGACAGGAGGCUGCCUGCCAGCGACUCCACGGGCUCAGGCUGUUUGUAGUUCAUGUGCAUAAUUUUUAAAGAUAGACAUAAGACAUACCCCUGAAGAUGAGUACAAGAGAGAAAGACAGGGCUCUGAAAAUACUGCCAUAGGCUCAAGUUCCAAAGUGCUGGAGUUACAAAAGUAUAAAGGACAACGCAAAGGACUUUUUAGCCAAAGAAGAACCAGAAAGGAAGAGUCCUAGGGAAUUGGAGACGUCGCGAAGGAAUGUUGUAAGGAGAAUUCAAGCCUAAAACGGUUCUGAGCACUGAUUUCAUCAAGCCGAUGGAGGCAACAACAUAUUCCUUAGGGAAAAUUAAGAUGCACAGUAUGCUUCAAGAUGAUGGCCAAGAACAACCAACUCAACGAGCCUUCAGGAAUUCAUGAUUUGAAUAUCAUGUUCAAGGCUGCCUUCUAGAUAAAGAUCAAACCAAGAAAGUCCAUGUGUCACUGCUCCGUGAAGGCUCCGGGUGGAACUCCCUGCCCCACUCCACCUUUAAGAUUUCCAGCACAGUGUCUUCACCUCCUUCAGCGCCCCUGUUUACAUGUCCAUCUCUCUCUUUAGAAGCUACAGACAUCAGCAAACUCGAGAAAAGAAGGUUUGCUCUGGGAGAUUCUACAUGUGACCUGUUUAUAUGUAAUUAUAUUAUCUAUUACUCAAGUAUUUGUCUUGUGCUGUCUAAAUUAUAAGCUUCUCAACUGUUUGCCUUGAGUGAGAUGUGCACGCUAAAGCCUCUCAAUAAAUAUUAAUUGAAUGAAUAAUUGAAAAAAACC
This 1072-nucleotide long non-coding RNA is filed under the name Homo sapiens (human). RNAcentral describes it as "HSALNT0206733". Lineage: Eukaryota; Metazoa; Chordata; Mammalia; Primates; Hominidae. The record is from RNAcentral.